Non-coding RNA from Protobothrops mucrosquamatus (brown spotted pit viper), 633 nucleotides. NCBI's taxonomy places the organism in Eukaryota, Metazoa, Chordata, Lepidosauria, Squamata, Viperidae. The record is from the annotation of a RefSeq genome assembly.
AUGGACAGUGAAUAUGAUGGAACUUGGAAUGUCACUGAAACAUCUUUCUUUUUAGUUGUCCAAUCUGAGGUCCUGUUGGUGGAGUCUGGAGGAGAUGUGAGAAGACCUGGAGAGUCCCUCCAUCUCUCCUGCGAAGCCUCUGGAUUCACCUUCAGCAGCUAUGACAUGCACUGGGUUGAUUCCACUCCAUUCAUUAGACUGGGAGCCAAAAUGAUUCUGUGGCCAAAGUUGGUCUUCUUACUGGCAUUUCUUGGAGGUGUCCAGUCAGAGGCCCAGUUGGUGGAGUCUGGAGGGGAUGUGAGAAAACCUGGAGAGUCCCUCAGUCUCUCCUGCCAAGCCUCUGGAUUCACCUUCAGCAGUUCCUGGAUGAGCUGGGUGAGACAGGCACCAGGGAAAGGACUGGAAUGGGUUUCCCAUAUAAAUCCAAGUUCAUCUGCUAUUUACUACUCAGACAAAGUAAAAGGGUGCUUCACCAUCUCCAGGGACGAUGCCAAAAGCCAGCUGUAUCUGCAAAUGAACAGCCUCAAAGCUGAAGACACGGCUGUCUAUUACUGUGCAAGAGACACAGUGAGAGGAAGUGAAUCUAAAGCUAAACAAAAACCUUCCUGUCUUCAGAGCAGCUCAGCCACUUGA